This 481-nucleotide ribosomal RNA is filed under the name uncultured organism. RNAcentral's name for it is "bacterial SSU rRNA". It matches the Rfam family "Bacterial small subunit ribosomal RNA", at positions 28 to 507 of the family's 1533-position model. The record is from RNAcentral.
GAUGAACGCUGGCGGCGUGCCUAACACAUGCAAGUCGAGCGGUAUACAUUGGAAUGAUAUUUCGAUUGAGUGAAGAUGUUGAGAGCGGCGGACGGGUGAGUAACGCGUAGGCAACCUGCCCCAUACACAGGGAUAGCCUCGGGAAACCGGGAUUAAAACCUGAUAAUGCGAAGGGUCUUCAUGGACCUUUCGCCAAAGAUUUAUCGGUAUGGGAUGGGCCUGCGUCUGAUUAGCUAGUUGGUGGGGUAACGGCCUACCAAGGCGACGAUCAGUAGCCGACCUGAGAGGGUAAUCGGCCACAUUGGAACUGAGACACGGUCCAAACUCCUACGGGAGGCAGCAGUGGGGAAUAUUGCACAAUGGGCGAAAGCCUGAUGCAGCAACGCCGCGUGAGCGAUGAAGGCCUUUGGGUCGUAAAGCUCUGUCCUUGGGGAAGAAAAAAAUGACGGUACCCUUGGAGGAAGCCCCGGCUAACUACGUG